Molecule: long non-coding RNA, 216 nt
Filed under: Lathyrus oleraceus (garden pea)
Lineage: Eukaryota; Viridiplantae; Streptophyta; Magnoliopsida; Fabales; Fabaceae
Description: Pisum sativum (pea) long non-coding RNA (PSAT_LNC040832)
Source: RNAcentral
UUUGAGGGUUUUAUCGACUAUUUCCCCUCGCCUCUCCCAUAGAGGCACCUAAAUAAAACUUGGUGGCGACUCUUCUGAUUUUACUUUCUCUCUUUGAUUAAGGAGGCAUCCAUUAAUUCAAUGUCCCGGUUUUUGUUAUUGUGAAAUCCCGGUAGUGACAACUAGCGACUCUGCGGGAGAACCGAUUUUCCCUAAGCGAGUCUAACCUAGUUUGGG